This 1582-nucleotide long non-coding RNA is filed under the name Sorghum bicolor (sorghum). Its description in RNAcentral is "long non-coding RNA (SBIC_LNC006058)". The record is from RNAcentral. Lineage: Eukaryota; Viridiplantae; Streptophyta; Magnoliopsida; Poales; Poaceae.
GGGACUUUAUGCAUCAUGUAUUUACGAAAUUUUGUGGGUGCAAUUGCGGCUAUUGCACCGAAAACAAGGAUAUUGCAACAUAUUAUGGACGUUGCUAAAGGGUGAAAACGUAGUAGUGAGCGUGGCAUUCCCUCCCCACAGUGGCAUUCCCUCCCCUCCACCUCUACAUGAACUUCGGUGGUGGCGUGGGGCUACCCAUGGUGGCACUACAACUCCGGCAUUGGCUCUCAGGCAUCACAGAUCCAGCGGGAUGGAGCCACUAGGGUGCGUAUCCAGCGGCGGAGAGGCACCAUGGCGUGCAGUGGCGGCGGCGAUAGCCUGUGGACGGGAUCAAUGGGCCCGUGGAUGAGCUCGGGGCCUAUCCAAGGGGGUUUUCCAUGUUUUGUUUUAUUAUUGGAUUAACAAGGCGGACAUUUGAACCGCCUUGGUAAAGCAUUGAUUUAUUAUGACCUUUCCACCAUGGCGGUUGCAAAAACCGCCUCGGUUAGUGCCUUUUGCCUGCCACGGUUAAAUUUUUCUGUAGUAGUGGCAACUUCUCCGCAACUCAUGAAGAGAUCACGACACAUUAUAUGCUUCCUUCAUGCAAAAAGUAAAUUUGGUAAAGACAAAAAUCAUGAGAUAGACAUGAAAAAAUGUGUGACUACCUGUGAAUUGGCUGAUAUAAAUAAGCAAAGAGCUGACGAAACAAGAGAAACUUUUCUCUCUUCUUGAAGCCAUUCGUUCCUCGAACUUGAUGAUUAUAGUGGGUUACAAAUGUAGAAACUAUGAGUACUUUGGGACAAUGGAGCAAAACAUAGCAGAUUAAAUACAAUAAUUUUGAGAUUUAAUGCCUUGAAUCUUGGAUGGAGACAUACUGCGUAUCAAAAUUAUAGAGCUUGACAAGACCUAAAACUUUGAAAUUGGAACUUUUUUCAUUUGAAAUGAUUUAGGGGCUGAAAUAUUCGAGACAAGAUCAUGAAAAAGAUAGCUAUCUAGAUGUAUACUCACAAAAGAGUUUCUAGUGAUGUAGUGGAGCAUUUUUUUGUACAUGUGUAAGGUUUUAGGUUUGAAUCUCUAAAGAUUCAUUUUUUUUUGGUUUUUUAGGAUUAAUAGUGAGAAUUGAUUAGAACCGGAUGGCUUGCUCGUCUUUGAAAAUUAAAAUGUGUACCUCCAAAAAUGCUCCCAUAAUGAUUGGUUAAAAGUAGAUGACUUGUCCAUCUCUAAAAAAACAUCUGCCUUCGAAAAUGUUCUCUGUGACCAGUGAGGCAUUAUUAAAGAUGUUGGUGGCUUCUAGAAGGUUAACGAGCUUUAACAGCUAAUAGGUUCUUGGAAUGUAGGUUGGAGGUGUACAUGAACUAUUAACAUCCCUUUAUCAACUAAUGUGUAAAAAGCUAUAUUCUACUGGGUGGAAAAUAAUCUUUUAAGUUUUCUCUUAUUGAGUUGGAUGUGACAUAAAUGGGCCUUUGGCUAAAAAUAAGCUCCAAUUGUCGAAGAUAUAUGCUCUAAGAGCUGGCGCGGAGAGAUCAGUGAAUUUGUUUAAGGUUGUUCAUGUGGUGUUCUCACUGAGUGAUACCAAUAACCUAAUAAAUGGUCCUAAAAUGUG